UACAGAGGUCUCAAGCGUUGUUCGGAUUCAUUGGGCGUAAAGGGCGCGUAGGCGGAUCUUUAAGUCGGGGGUGAAAGCCUGAGGCUCAACCUCAGAAUUGCCUUCGAUACUGGAGAUCUUGAGACCGGAAGAGGUGAGUGGAACUGCGAGUGUAGAGGUGAAAUUCGUAGAUAUUCGCAAGAACACCAGUGGCGAAGGCGGCUCACUGGUCCGGUUCUGACGCUGAGGCGCGAAAGCGUGGGGAGCAAACAGG
This 253-nucleotide ribosomal RNA is filed under the name uncultured bacterium. RNAcentral's name for it is "partial 16S ribosomal RNA". It matches the Rfam family "Bacterial small subunit ribosomal RNA", at positions 524 to 776 of the family's 1533-position model. The record is from RNAcentral.